AUGGGAAUGGAGAUGUUAGAUGUGGAUGAGGCAGUGUGUGCUAAAUAUUUCACCAUGAUGUUGGAAGGAACAGCUCAUACUUGGUUGAAGAGCCUACCAACCAACUCUGUCGGAUCAUGGACUGAAUUGAAGCACCGGUUUAUCCAGAACUUCAAAGAUACUUGUAAGCAGCCAAUGUCAAUCAUGGAUCUGGCCGCUUGUGUCCAAGAGGAAGGGGAGUCCACGACCCAUUGGGUCAAACGGGUCUCAACGAUUUUGCACUCAUCAAAUCGUAUCAAUGCAGACACCGUAGUGUUUACAUUAGAGGGCAAUUGA
Molecule: ribosomal RNA, 315 nt
Filed under: Triticum aestivum (bread wheat)
Lineage: Eukaryota; Viridiplantae; Streptophyta; Magnoliopsida; Poales; Poaceae
Description: partial small subunit ribosomal RNA
Source: RNAcentral